Molecule: ribosomal RNA, 192 nt
Filed under: uncultured bacterium
Lineage: Bacteria
Description: partial 16S ribosomal RNA
Rfam family: Bacterial small subunit ribosomal RNA
Source: RNAcentral
AACCCGACUACAUGAAGCUGGAAUCGCUAGUAAUCGCGAAUCAGAAUGUCGCGGUGAAUACGUUCCCGGGUCUUGUACACACCGCCCGUCACACCAUGGGAGUCGAAUAUGCCCGAAGCCGGUGACCUAACCGCAAGGAAGGAGCCGUCGAAGGUGGAGCCGAUGACUGGGGUGAAGUCGUAACAAGGUAUC